CCUCCUACGGGGGGCUGCAGUAGGGAAUAUUGCCCAAUGGACGAAAGUCUGAGGCAGCAACGCCGCGUGCACGAAGAAGGCCUUCGGGUUGUAAAGUGCUUUUGACGAAGAAGAGGAAGGACAGUACUCGUCGAAUAAGCUUCGGCUAACUACGUGCCAGCAGCCGCGGUAACACGUAGGAAGCGAGCGUUAUCCGGAUUUACUGGGCGUAAAGCGUGUGCAGGCGGUCGUGUAAGUUGGAUGUGAAAGCUCCUGGCUAAACUGGGAGAGGUCGUUCAGAACUGCGCGACUAGAGAGCGAAAGAGGGAAGCAGAAUUCCGAGUGUAGUGGUGAAAUGCGUAGAUAUUCGGAGGAAUACCAGAGGCGAAGGCGGCUUCCUGGUUCGCAACUGACGCUGAGACACGAAAGCUAGGGUAGCAAACGGGAUUAGAUACCCCUGUAGUCGU
Molecule: ribosomal RNA, 446 nt
Filed under: uncultured Anaerolineaceae bacterium
Lineage: Bacteria; Bacillati; Chloroflexota; Anaerolineae; Anaerolineales; Anaerolineaceae
Description: bacterial SSU rRNA
Rfam family: Bacterial small subunit ribosomal RNA
Source: RNAcentral